UUAUCUAUCCAAUCCUGUUAUGUACAUAACACACAAGACCUAAAUCAGAUACGGAGAGUAUAUCAAAUUGAAGCCUAAACAUGGAUAUUCUUCCUCCGCCGCUUCCUUCUCUUCCUCCUUGCAUUCAGAUGGUAACUGAAGCAAUUUCUAGCUUGAAAGCAGAAUCUGGAUUAAGUCAACAUGAAAUUGCAAAGUUUAUUGAAGAGAAGUAUUAUGUAGGUAGGCUUCCGCAGAGUUAUAAAAAAACGUUAUUGAAGGAGUUAAAUGAAUUGGCAAAAUCAGGGAGGUUGGUGAAAGGUAAGAGAUCAUUUAAGCUACCAGAGAAGGUGGAAAAAAAUUCUGCUGAAAUCGAAAAGAAAAAAAAAGAAGAAAAAAGUUAAAGUUAAAGAAGCGGUAACGGAGGGUGAGGAGGAGAUGAUUGGGAUCCGAAAGUAUUUAGAGUAUUAUGAGAGGUUGAAUCAAUUGAUGAUACCAAGUCUUUCGAAGGAAGAAUUGAUUCAGAAAGAGAAAGCGAACCUAGGGGAUUGGAAGAAGGUCGCAGUGAUAAGCAGCUCGGACCUUUCCCUCGUUUUAUCCUUGGAGAAUUUGAUGCAAGUACAGCAUGAGCAGCUUGACUUGGUGAGAUUUGUUAAUCCUAGGUUUUGGUUCCUUCUGUUAUUUGAUGCAAGUACAACAUGAGCAGCAUGACUUGACAUUGGUACUAAAUGUAGGUCACUCAUACAGCAGGAAACCACACUUGCCAAAAUACGGAGUUUGGAGGAUAGUUAUAACAAGAAGCUAUGGGAUAUGCAAUUGAGUCAAAGGAAUGAUCAAGAAGAAAAGGAUCUCUAUGAGUGAAGGAAUGAGAUUAUCAAAUCACUUCCUAAGUUCUGGUCAACUGCUUUUAUGAGUGAUGAUUCGCUUAAAAGACGCCUGAAUAAAGAAGACAAGAAGAUAAUCAAGUUUCUCCGUACUGUGGAUGUUGAAGGUCAUCCAGAUGUGACACCUGAGUGCACAAUCACUUUAAACUUUGAUAAGAAUCCGUACUUCAAAAAUUCAAGUCUCACAAAGAACUUUAAGAUCUCCGAAAAAGGAAUCUUUGACGUACGGUGCACCCCAGUCAUAUGGAAGAAUGGCAAGGGCAAUACAGCUGUACUUGAAGAAAAGUCGAGUAAGCAGUCGCAUACUGAUAUGCCUAAAAGCUUCUUUACAUGGUUCGAAGAUCCCACGGAAAGUUCAAUGACGAGGCAACUUGUUUUCCCUUUCCUAAGUUUCGAGUUAUGAAAGAUGCAAUGUGCAUCAUUAUUAUAUGUCUAAUUAUGAUCCAAAAAAGGCAUUGUAUCAAAAUGGUGUUAGUUUUCUGUUUUCCCCUUUUUCAUUGCUACUGGUAUGAUUUCUUGUUCUGUCACAUGCUCCCUUAUGUUGCUACCUAAGUUGCAAAGUCUCAUCAUUUUUCUUUUGCUAAUCACCAUUACUGGACCGCAAGAGGUGGAAGACUUUCACAUCAUUUCUGCUCACCUAGUUACCACUGAUACCAUUUCAUAUUCUGUUGUUCAUUUGCUCUGAAGUCUUGCGGAUUUAUUAUUGACGAAAUAACUUCACAGUCCAAAGUCUCAUCAUUUUUCUUUUGCUAAUUACCAUUACUGGACGCAAGAGGUGGAAGACUUUCACAUCGUUUCUGCUCACCUAGUUACCACUGAUACCAUUUCCUAUUCUGUUGUUCAUUUGCUCUGAAGUCUUGCGGAUUUAUUAUUGACGAAAUAACUUCACAGUUCCGGUGGAGCUCUUUUUUCCUUGUCUGUUGUAUGUCAUGUUGAUUUUGCUGCCCCUACUUUUGCAGGUGGCUAAUUUAAUCGCAUGUGAUUUAUGGUGUUAUGCUCCGUACUAUUAUGUCAAUGCAACGCCAAACGUGUAUUGACAAUGAGCUAAAUUGGGGCGACAUGGACAAGUAACGCACCGGAAAUGACACGACUUGUUUCUUUCAAGUAGAUCUGCUUCAGUGCUUGGCCAAAUCAAAUGACUUUCGAUAGCACCUAUGUGUUCAGUUGAGAUAGAUGUAUAAAUAAUCUACAUUGAUAAAUAUGUGUAGAUAAUCUACAUUAAUUUGGCAUUAAGCUGUAAGAUGAUAGGUAACAAGUAUUUUGGUAGUGGUUCUUGCGGGAUUCUCCUUUUUGUUCUG
Molecule: RNA transcript, 2158 nt
Organism: Papaver somniferum (opium poppy)
Lineage: Eukaryota; Viridiplantae; Streptophyta; Magnoliopsida; Ranunculales; Papaveraceae
Gene name: NAP1-related protein 2-like
Exons: 9
Source: RefSeq, a predicted model, not a curated record